Regulatory RNA element from Granulicatella elegans ATCC 700633, 100 nucleotides. It matches the Rfam family "THF (Tetrahydrofolate) riboswitch aptamer". Rfam says of the family: THF riboswitch presents a pseudoknot that joins P1-P2 and the loop of P3 and two THF binding. NCBI's taxonomy places the organism in Bacteria, Bacillati, Bacillota, Bacilli, Lactobacillales, Carnobacteriaceae. The record is from Rfam.
AUCAGAGUAGAAUACAUUGCGUUAAGUGCCAAAUGGAUGGGAUGUUGCCGAUUGGACGAAAAAGAGAACUCUUUGCGGUAGUGUAUUCGCAUUCGCUGCA